AAAACAUCAUAAAUGUUCACUUAUAUAAAUCUAGCAAUAUGGGCUAGAUGUCUCUACCUAACUACCGUAAAUAGUUGUAGGCUAUAAGUGCAAUAAGCUUAUUA
RNAcentral lists this non-coding RNA (104 nucleotides) under Paramaledivibacter caminithermalis. RNAcentral describes it as "Clostridium caminithermale Guanine sequence". It matches the Rfam family "Purine riboswitch aptamer". Rfam says of the family: Riboswitches are metabolite binding domains within certain messenger RNAs that serve as precision sensors for their corresponding targets. Allosteric rearrangement of mRNA structure is mediated by ligand binding, and this results in modulation of gene expression. RNAcentral also lists the same sequence under 1 other name. Lineage: Bacteria; Bacillati; Bacillota; Clostridia; Peptostreptococcales; Caminicellaceae. The record is from RNAcentral.